Molecule: transfer RNA, 91 nt
Filed under: Patescibacteria group bacterium
Lineage: Bacteria
Description: tRNA-Ser
Rfam family: tRNA
About the family: Transfer RNA (tRNA) molecules are approximately 80 nucleotides in length.
Source: RNAcentral
GGAGAGGUGGCUGAGUGGUUGAAAGCGCCCGCCUUGAGAGCGGGUUUCCGGGCUAAAACCCGGAACGGGGGUUCGAAUCCCCCCCUCUCCG